RNAcentral lists this ribosomal RNA (434 nucleotides) under uncultured bacterium. Its description in RNAcentral is "partial 16S ribosomal RNA". It matches the Rfam family "Bacterial small subunit ribosomal RNA", at positions 29 to 507 of the family's 1533-position model. The record is from RNAcentral.
AGCGAACGCUGGCGGCAGGCCUAACACAUGCAAGUCGAACGAACCUUUCGGGGUUAGUGGCGGACGGGUGAGUAACACGUGGGAACGUGCCUUUAGGUUCGGCAUAACUCAGGGAAACUUGUGCUAAUACCGAAUGUGCCCUUCGGGGGAAAGAUUAAUCGCCUUUAGAGCGGCCCGCGUCUGAUUAGCUAGUUGGGUGAGGUAAUGGCUCACCAAGGCGACGAUCAGUAGCUGGUCUGAGAGGAUGAUCAGCCACAUUGGGACUGAGACACGGCCCAAACUCCUACGGGAGGCAGCAGUGGGGAAUCUUGCGCAAUGGGCGAAAGCCUGACGCAGCCAUGCCGCGUGAAUGAUGAAGGUCUUAGGAUUGUAAAAUUCUUUCACCGGGGACGAUAAUGACGGUACCCGGAGAAGAAGCCCCGGCUAACUUCGUG